RNAcentral lists this ribosomal RNA (1158 nucleotides) under Salmonella enterica subsp. enterica serovar Dublin. RNAcentral's name for it is "partial 23S ribosomal RNA". It matches the Rfam family "Bacterial large subunit ribosomal RNA", at positions 140 to 1226 of the family's 2925-position model. The record is from RNAcentral. Lineage: Bacteria; Pseudomonadati; Pseudomonadota; Gammaproteobacteria; Enterobacterales; Enterobacteriaceae.
UCGUCACACUAUCAUUAACUGAAUCCAUAGGUUAAUGAGGCGAACCGGGGGAACUGAAACAUCUAAGUACCCCGAGGAAAAGAAAUCAACCGAGAUUCCCCCAGUAGCGGCGAGCGAACGGGGAGGAGCCCAGAGCCUGAAUCAGCAUGUGUGUUAGUGGAAGCGUCUGGAAAGGCGCGCGAUACAGGGUGACAGCCCCGUACACAAAAGCGUAUGUGCUGUGAGCUCGAUGAGUAGGGCGGGACACGUGGUAUCCUGUCUGAAUAUGGGGGGACCAUCCUCCAAGGCUAAAUACUCCUGACUGACCGAUAGUGAACCAGUACCGUGAGGGAAAGGCGAAAAGAACCCCGGCGAGGGGAGUGAAAAAGAACCUGAAACCGUGUACGUACAAGCAGUGGGAGCCCCACCACUAAGCCAGUGGUGAACUCCACAUACGCAUCCUUUGCUGAGGAUACGGUUAACGGAGCGAAAGCGACGUUCAACCGCAAAAGAAGCAGAGGGGGCUUAGUGGUGGGGUGACUGCGUACCUUUUGUAUAAUGGGUCAGCGACUUAUAUUCUGUAGCAAGGUUAACCGAAUAGGGGAGCCGGAGGGAAACCGAGUCUUAACCGGGCGUUAAGUUGCAGGGUAUAGACCCGAAACCCGGUGAUCUAGCCAUGGGCAGGUUGAAGGUUGGGUAACACUAACUGGAGGACCGAACCGACUAAUGUUGAAAAAUUAGCGGAUGACCUGUGGCUGGGGGUGAAAGGCCAAUCAAACCGGGAGAUAGCUGGUUCUCCCCGAAAGCUAUUUAGGUAGCGCCUCGUGAAUUCAUCUCCGGGGGUAGAGCACUGUUUCGGCUAGGGGGCCAUCCCGGCUUACCAACCCGAUGCAAACUGCGAAUACCGGAGAAUGUUAUCACGGGAGACACACGGCGGGUGCUAACGUCCGUCGUGAAGAGGGAAACAACCCAGACCGCCAGCUAAGGUCCCAAAGUCAUGGUUAAGUGGGAAACGAUGUGGGAAGGCCCAGACAGCCAGGAUGUUGGCUUAGAAGCAGCCAUCAUUUAAAGAAAGCGUAAUAGCUCACUGGUCGAGUCGGCCUGCGCGGAAGAUGUAACGGGGCUAAACCAUGCACCGAAGCUGCGGCAGCGAACGUAUCACUUAAAGCGAUUCAGCGG